RNAcentral lists this ribosomal RNA (370 nucleotides) under uncultured eukaryote. Its description in RNAcentral is "partial 18S ribosomal RNA". It matches the Rfam family "Eukaryotic small subunit ribosomal RNA", at positions 592 to 975 of the family's 1831-position model. The record is from RNAcentral.
CAAUAGCGUAUAUUAAAGUUGUUGCAGUUAAAAAGCUCGUAGUUGGAUUUCUGGCGGGGACCCAAGUACCCCUGGUGGGUGUGCUCGGGCCCGGCCAUCCUUCUGUCAACUUUCGCGCGUCCUUCACCGGUCGGCAAAGGGAUCAGAUAAUUUACCUUGAGAAAAUUAGAGUGUUUCAGGCAGGCUUUCGCCGGAAUACAUUAGCAUGGAAUAAUGGAAUAGGACUGAGGUCUCGUUGUUGGUUACGCGGACUCCAGUAAUGAUUAAUAGGGACAGUUGGGGGCAUUAGUAUUUAUUAGCUAGAGGUGGAAUUCUCUAAUUUGAUAAAGACUAACUUAUGCGAAAGCAUUUGCCAAGGAUAUUUUCAUUA